Molecule: ribosomal RNA, 901 nt
Filed under: Bursaphelenchus xylophilus (pine wood nematode)
Lineage: Eukaryota; Metazoa; Nematoda; Chromadorea; Rhabditida; Aphelenchoididae
Description: SSU rRNA
Rfam family: Eukaryotic small subunit ribosomal RNA
Source: RNAcentral
UAAAACAAUGGUUAACAGGAACAGCCGGGGGCAUUCGUAUCGCUGCGCGAGAGGUGAAAUUCGUGGACCGUAGCGAGACGUCCUACAGCGAAGGCAUUUGCCAAGAGUGUUUUCAUUAAUCAAGAACGAAAGUCAGAGGUUCGAAGGCGAUUAGAUACCGCUCUAGUUCUGACCGUAAACGAUGCCAACUGUCGAUCCGCUUGUGGAUUUUAUUCAUGAGCGGGGAGAUUUCCGGAAACGAAAGUUUUUCGGUUUCGGGGGAAGUAUGGUUGCAAAGCUGAAACUUAAAGGAAUUGACGGAAGGGCACCACCAGGAGUGGAGCUUGCGGCUUAAUUUGACUCAACACGGGAAAUCUCACCCGGCCAGUACAUCGUAAGGAUUGACAGACUGACAGCUCUUUCAUGAUUCGGUGAAUGGUGGUGCAUGGCCGUUCUUAGUUCGUGGAUUGAUUUGUCUGGUUUAUUCCGAUAACGAACGAGACUUUAACUAUUAAAUAGUGCGCAUGUUGCUUCGGCUGCGUGUGAUCACUUCUUAAAGGAAUUUGUGGUUUUCAACCUCAAGAAAUUGAGCAAUAACAGGUCUGUGAUGCCCUUAGAUGUUCGGGGCCGCACGCGUGCUACAAUGGUGGUAACAGCGUGAUUGUCCUUUUCCGACAGGAAUUGGCAAACAGUUGAGAUAUUAUUAUGGCUGGAAUUGAGUGUUGAAAUUUUCUCUCAUGAACGAGGAAUUCCAAGUAAAUGUGAGUCAUUAACUUGCAUUGAUUACGUCCCUGCCCUUUGUACACACCGCCCGUCGCUGCCCGGGACUGAGUUACUUCGAGAAAACUAGGGAUCGCUGGAGUUCGAUGUUUCGGCAUUGUCUUUGGUGAGAACUAGUUUAAUCGCAGUGGCUUGAACCGGG